GAGUUUGAUCCUGGCUCAGGACGAACGCUGGCGGCGUGCCUAAUACAUGCAAGUCGAACGAACUCUGGUAUUGAUUGGUGCUUGCAUCAUGAUUUACAUUUGAGUGAGUGGCGAACUGGUGAGUAACACGUGGGAAACCUGCCCAGAAGCGGGGGAUAACACCUGGAAACAGAUGCUAAUACCGCAUAACAACUUGGACCGCAUGGUCCGAGCUUGAAAGAUGGCUUCGGCUAUCACUUUUGGAUGGUCCCGCGGCGUAUUAGCUAGAUGGUGGGGUAACGGCUCACCAUGGCAAUGAUACGUAGCCGACCUGAGAGGGUAAUCGGCCACAUUGGGACUGAGACACGGCCCAAACUCCUACGGGAGGCAGCAGUAGGGAAUCUUCCACAAUGGACGAAAGUCUGAUGGAGCAACGCCGCGUGAGUGAAGAAGGGUUUCGGCUCGUAAAACUCUGUUGUUAAAGAAGAACAUAUCUGAGAGUAACUGUUCAGGUAUUGACGGUAUUUAACCAGAAAGCCACGGCUAACUACGUGCCAGCAGCCGCGGUAAUACGUAGGUGGCAAGCGUUGUCCGGAUUUAUUGGGCGUAAAGCGAGCGCAGGCGGUUUUUUAAGUCUGAUGUGAAAGCCUUCGGCUCAACCGAAGAAGUGCAUCGGAAACUGGGAAACUUGAGUGCAGAAGAGGACAGUGGAACUCCAUGUGUAGCGGUGAAAUGCGUAGAUAUAUGGAAGAACACCAGUGGCGAAGGCGGCUGUCUGGUCUGUAACUGACGCUGAGGCUCGAAAGUAUGGGUAGCAAACAGGAUUAGAUACCCUGGUAGUCCAUACCGUAAACGAUGAAUGCUAAGUGUUGGAGGGUUUCCGCCCUUCAGUGCUGCAGCUAACGCAUUAAGCAUUCCGCCUGGGGAGUACGGCCGCAAGGCUGAAACUCAAAGGAAUUGACGGGGGCCCGCACAAGCGGUGGAGCAUGUGGUUUAAUUCGAAGCUACGCGAAGAACCUUACCAGGUCUUGACAUACUAUGCAAAUCUAAGAGAUUAGACGUUCCCUUCGGGGACAUGGAUACAGGUGGUGCAUGGUUGUCGUCAGCUCGUGUCGUGAGAUGUUGGGUUAAGUCCCGCAACGAGCGCAACCCUUAUUAUCAGUUGCCAGCAUUAAGUUGGGCACUCUGGUGAGACUGCCGGUGACAAACCGGAGGAAGGUGGGGAUGACGUCAAAUCAUCAUGCCCCUUAUGACCUGGGCUACACACGUGCUACAAUGGAUGGUACAACGAGUUGCGAACUCGCGAGAGUAAGCUAAUCUCUUAAAGCCAUUCUCAGUUCGGAUUGUAGGCUGCAACUCGCCUACAUGAAGUCGGAAUCGCUAGUAAUCGCGGAUCAGCAUGCCGCGGUGAAUACGUUCCCGGGCCUUGUACACACCGCCCGUCACACCAUGAGAGUUUGUAACACCCAAAGUCGGUGGGGUAACCUUUUAGGAACCAGCCGCCUAAGGUGGGACAGAUGAUUAGGGUGAAGUCGUAACAAGGUAGCCGUAG
This 1531-nucleotide ribosomal RNA is filed under the name Lactiplantibacillus plantarum. Its description in RNAcentral is "partial 16S ribosomal RNA". It matches the Rfam family "Bacterial small subunit ribosomal RNA". The record is from RNAcentral. RNAcentral also lists the same sequence under 1 other name. Lineage: Bacteria; Bacillati; Bacillota; Bacilli; Lactobacillales; Lactobacillaceae.